AGUGAACUGACGAACGUUUCUCUCCGCACGUCUGGGAUGGAUGUAGUGCGCGCGUGUGCGCAUGCUCCGGUUAUGGGCGGAUGUGCGUAUGUGCAUGUGGGUGGGAUAAUGCCCCGCUCUGUAACGCUGGCCACGGGUUUUCUCUUUCCGCAGCGUUGUCUUCAGGUUUUCUCUAGGAACCCGCUGCAAAGGCUUUCAAAAACAUUACCCCACCAUAUAUAGGUGUGAUGUCCAUGAGAAUAGAAAAUACUAAACUUAUUAGAUCGGCCUUCAUAAUCCGAUUCUCAGCUCCCAGCGUUAGUCCCUCCUCGCAGUUCUGAUGACCACGCAGUGUACUUCUCCACACCCCUUUUGUAUUAGAAUUAGCAAAUUCUGGGUUUGGCGGUGGUCCCAGGCACUAUUCCGUACCCUGGUGAUGUGGACGUGUACCAGACUUUCUAGUGGGAGGAACAAAUGCAAACACACUAAUGCCAGGACAGCGCUAAGUGCUAUGAGGAGGGGAAAAAAGCCACGUUGGAAGAUUGGCAGUGGUCUGAGAAAACUGUUGGAGCCUUACCCUGUUCAGAACAACAGGGAGUCCUGGGGAGGAAGGACAGAUGUGUGCACAGGAAAGCGUGGAGGCUGUAGAGGAAGAGGCAGGGGCUGGGUGGACCUGGUUGGUAAGUGUGCUUUAAGAUACACAUAAAGGACUUGCUGAGAGUAAGGGAAGGAGGAAUCAAGAAUGUUUUUCUUUUUGGCCUGAGCACCUGAGUGCAUGGGUGGUAGUUCUCUUUUUUAACAAGAAUGGAAAAGAUGGGGUUGUCUCCCCUAAAAAGAUUUUGAGUUUCAAGUGCAGGAGCUAUAUUUUCUUUGCAGUCCUGGCUUCUACCAAGGACCCGUCCCUAGGAAUUGAGCAGAAACUCUUGAAAAAACAGUCUUAACUUAGGCCCACAUCUCUUAACACAUCACAUUUUUUUAAAAUAUGUUUUUUAGUUGUAGAUGGACACAAUAUCUUCAUUUUAUUUAUUUUUAUGUGGUGCUGAGGAUGGAUCCCAGUGGCUCACACGUGCUAGGCAAGCACUCUACCACUGAACUACAACCGCAGCUCACAAGUCAUAUUCAGUCCCCUCUCUGACACAUAGCCAGCCUAUCUUUGUGAAACUCUUAAGGCCAGCUGCAUGUGACCUCCAGGUGCCUGUCCCCGGAGAUUCCUUGGACUCCUAGGUAGAUAUAGUUGAGAGGCAGCUAGUCAUGUUGUCCACCUACAGUCGAGGAGCUGACCAUUGGCAUCAGGAGGCUGCUUACAACAGUGGCUUAGCAGGACAGAGAGCAAUCCUCUCACAGCCUAUGGUUGGCAUGUGGCAGGAGCUUCCCAGGUGGCCAAUUUG
Molecule: long non-coding RNA, 1367 nt
Filed under: Marmota monax (woodchuck)
Lineage: Eukaryota; Metazoa; Chordata; Mammalia; Rodentia; Sciuridae
Source: RNAcentral